GUCCCCGUAGUUAAACGGAUAUAACAAGCCCUCCUAAGGGCUAGUUACUGGUUCGAUUCCAGUCGGGGACACCA
Molecule: transfer RNA, 74 nt
Filed under: Serratia marcescens
Lineage: Bacteria; Pseudomonadati; Pseudomonadota; Gammaproteobacteria; Enterobacterales; Yersiniaceae
Also listed under: 2 other names
Description: tRNA-OTHER
Rfam family: tRNA
About the family: Transfer RNA (tRNA) molecules are approximately 80 nucleotides in length. Their secondary structure includes four short double-helical elements and three loops (D, anti-codon, and T loops).
Source: RNAcentral